AAAAAAAAAGUGAGAAUUGAGAUCUAAGAAAACUAGCCAUAAAAUGGGGCUUUUUUUUUGUAUAAUAUUGUAGAUGACUAUGUUAAUUUUGAGCUUUUGAGAGUUUUAUUUUGAUAAUUUUAUGAUAAGACUUGAAGAAGAGCUAAAGCUAUAUGCAUAAUUCACACUAUGGCGGUAUUGUAGUAAACUCCGUCAUUAAAAGAGCAUUUAAGGUCAAUUUCAACAGACUUUACCAUCAUUUCGCUGUCAUUUGAAUUUGUAGAGAAUGCAAUAACUCCCAAUUGGGGAUUCUUUAAUAAUGAAGCUCCACCACUUCCGAUUACAUUAGUAAUGGAAACAUCAAUUUCAAAGGAGGAUUCCCUGUCUACAACGAAUGGGACAGCUAGAAGAGUAGGAGGGAUAGAUUUGUCAGUUGUGUACUUUUGGGUAGGGUUAUCAAAAAAGCUUUGACCUUCAACAGUAAAGGAGGAGUUCCAGUCGAAUUUAUCCAUGAGGAAAACUUCAAACUCUCCAUUAGCAGUGAACUUAGAGAACUCUAUUUUUGCUUUAGCUGAGGUGAUAGUAUUUAGACAAGGGACUUUAGAGAAAUCGAAUGCAGCUAGAACAACACUGUUUAACUUGGCAGUUGCAACUGUGGAAGUGGAGCUCCAAUUGGUUUUAGUAAGUUCUCCAAGCUUCAGAUUUUUGAGUUUAGUCUCAAAGCUCCCUCCAGAUAUGACUCCAUUAGAGAGGGAGGAUCCUGGAUUCCAUUUGAUCUCCAUAAAAGGUAGAGCUAGGUUUAUAUCUUGACUUGAAUCCUUAGAUUUUGGAAAACCAUAGAAUGUGAUAAGGCCUAGAUUAAGUUUAGAUUCGUUGAUUGCUUUUUUAACCAGAUCUAAUACAUCAACUCUGGUUGUCCCUCCAAGCUUAAGCUUGAAAUCCUUGCUUGAGAUUGCUGUUAAAUCGUUUGAACUGGUUAAAGUGGAAGUUUUUAGAGUCUUUACAAUACUGAGGGUAUAAUCGAGUGUUUUGUGGGUUUCAGUUAAGCUGUUUUCAUUUUGAUUUCCAUUUUCGCCAGAAUUUGAGCUUGAAUUUGAGUUUGAGCUUGAAUUUGAGUCCGAGGUUGAAUUUGAGUCUGAGUCUGAGGUAUCUAUGUUUUCUGAAGAGGCAUGUAAUUUCUCUACAAUGGUAAUAUUCAUUUCUUGUAAACUUUCAGUGGUGAUGAAAGGUAUAGAAAACUGUGAGACAAAUGCAGAAUUGCCAGAAAUGGACGUUUUAUUUGCUUGAGUGAUAUCUUCAAAACCUAAUGAUGAAUCAUAAUUGACAGCUUUUCCAUUACUAUCAAAGAAAGAAGUUUCAACAGAAGCAAUAUUUGGGUUUGAGAAGACUUGCGUGUUAAGAUGAUCCAUAGAUUGGAAAGUUUCAGAAGGAUCAAACUGAUAUGUGAUUUUGGCUUUGUUGAGAGUAAAGAUCGCUCCUACGUAGUUUUCUGGUAGAGAUAGACUAAUGAAUACAUUCUCAAUAGCUAAUGUUGGAGAUUUCUGGAAUAGCCGUGUAAUAUCAACAAUUAGGGUUUUAAUCCCAGAUUCUAGAGAUAGUGGUACAGAUAUA
This 1590-nucleotide non-coding RNA is filed under the name Cryptosporidium parvum. The record is from RNAcentral. Lineage: Eukaryota; Apicomplexa; Conoidasida; Eucoccidiorida; Cryptosporidiidae.